This 275-nucleotide ribosomal RNA is filed under the name uncultured bacterium. RNAcentral's name for it is "partial 16S ribosomal RNA". It matches the Rfam family "Bacterial small subunit ribosomal RNA", at positions 53 to 339 of the family's 1533-position model. The record is from RNAcentral.
ACAUGCAAGUCGAACGAAGGCUCCAGCUUGCUGGAUGUCCUUAGUGGCGAACGGGUGAGUAACGCGUGGGAACCUACCUUGGAGCGGGGAAUAACUAUUGGAAACGAUGGCUAAUACCGCAUACGCCCUCAGGGGGGAAAAGGCUUCGGGCCACUCCAAGACGGUCCCGCGUCUGAUUAGCUUGUUGGUAAGGUAACGGCUUACCAAGGCGACGAUCAGUAGCUGGUCUGAGAGGAUGAUCAGCCACACUGGGACUGAGGCACGGCCCAGACUCC